This 95-nucleotide non-coding RNA is filed under the name uncultured Lawsonibacter sp. Its description in RNAcentral is "SAM riboswitch (S box leader)". It matches the Rfam family "SAM riboswitch aptamer (S box leader)". From Rfam's summary of the family: The SAM riboswitch is found upstream of a number of genes which code for proteins involved in methionine or cysteine biosynthesis in Gram-positive bacteria. The SAM riboswitch acts at the level of transcription termination control. Lineage: Bacteria; Bacillati; Bacillota; Clostridia; Eubacteriales; Oscillospiraceae. The record is from RNAcentral.
CUUAUCAAGAGUGGUGGAGGGAACGGCCCUGUGAAGCCCGGCAACCUGCAAUGCGCAAGGUGCUAAAUCCGGCGGCAGAGUAUCGAAAGAUGAGG